UAGAGUUUGAUCCUGGCUCAGGACGAACGCUGGCGGCGUGCCUAGUACAUGCAAGUCGAGCGGAUUUAUCCUUCGGGAUAAGUUAGCGGCGGACGGGUGAGUAACACGUAGGCAACCUGCCUAUAAGACUGGGAUAACUACCGGAAACGAUAGCUAAGACCGGAUAACUGAUUUUCUCGCAUGAGAAAAUUAUGAAACACGGAGCAAUCUGUGGCUUAUAGAUGGGCCUGCGGCGCAUUAGCUAGUUGGGGGGUAACGGCCCACCAAGGCGACGAUCGAUAGGGAUCCUGAGAGGGAGGUCCCCCACACUGGUACUGAGACACGGGCCAGACUCCUACGGGAGGCAGCAGUAGGGAAUAUUGGGCAAUGGAGGCAACUCUGACCCAGCCAUGCCGCGUGCAGGAAGAAGGCCCUCUGGUUGUAAACUGCUUUUGGACGGGGACAAAAAGAUCAUGCGUGGUCAAUUGAGUGUACCGUCAGAAUAAGCACCGGCUAACUCCGUGCCAGCAGCCGCGGUAAUACGGAGGGUGCAAGCGUUGUCCGGAUUUAUUGGGUUUAAAGGGUGCGUAGGUGGCCUGAUAAGUCAGUGGUGAAACCCUUGGGCUUAACCCAAGGAGUGCCAUUGAUACUGUCAGGCUUUGGUUACCUCUAGGCGGGCCGAAUUGGAUGGUGUAGCGGUGAAAUGCAUACAUUUUCACCAGAAACCCCGACGGCAAAGGGCACUUCGCUGGGGGUUAACCAACCUGGAGGCACGAAUUCGGGGGGGAUCAACCGGGAUUAGAUA
RNAcentral lists this ribosomal RNA (784 nucleotides) under uncultured Paenibacillaceae bacterium. RNAcentral's name for it is "bacterial SSU rRNA". It matches the Rfam family "Bacterial small subunit ribosomal RNA", at positions 1 to 784 of the family's 1533-position model. Lineage: Bacteria; Bacillati; Bacillota; Bacilli; Caryophanales; Paenibacillaceae. The record is from RNAcentral.